GUUUGCCAGAAAUCCAUGGGUAAGCAAAUUUGCAUUGCUUCAUACUG
This is a small RNA of Salmonella enterica subsp. arizonae, 47 nucleotides long. It matches the Rfam family "ES003 sRNA". Rfam says of the family: Differentially expressed under several chemical stress and fermentation conditions. The record is from Rfam. Lineage: Bacteria; Pseudomonadati; Pseudomonadota; Gammaproteobacteria; Enterobacterales; Enterobacteriaceae.